CGUUUCCAUGGUAACGGCUGCGGUGGGGACAAGGUUCUUAAUUAGGCCUUAAUGAGGCGCUGACUUCCGAGUUGGGGGCGUCGCCGCCAUGACAGCUACCAGCCCCCCCCCGGACCAUUACCGGGUUCUCGGGGUCCCACCCGACGCCAGCCAGGAACAGAUCCGGGAUGCGUUCAUCAGGGGCUGCAAGGAGACCCCAUAAGGACCCUAUGACCCCAUAAAGACCCUAUAGACCCCAUAGAAACCCUAUAGACCCCAUAAGGAACCCAUAAAGACCCUAUAGACCCCAUAGAAACCCUAUAGACCCCCAUAAAGACUCCAUAGACCCCAUANAAUGGGCACCUAGAAAACCCAAGAGCACGACGCAUAACCCCCUCCCCUGCUACCCAUAGGAACCCCAUAGGACCCCAUUAGGACCCUAAUGGCAUCCAUGGGACCCCAAUAGGACCCAUAGGACCCCCAUCAUCCCACGCUCAUCCCCCGUAGGACCCCCAUAGGACCCAGUGGCACCCAUAG
RNAcentral lists this long non-coding RNA (516 nucleotides) under Coturnix japonica (Japanese quail). RNAcentral's name for it is "lncRNA (ENSCJPG00005000291.1)". Lineage: Eukaryota; Metazoa; Chordata; Aves; Galliformes; Phasianidae. The record is from RNAcentral.